GACGAAUGUUGACGGCGUGCCUAAUCUAUGCAAGUCGAACGGUAAGGCCCUUCGGGGUACACGAGUGGCGAACGGGUGAGUAACACGUGGGUGAUCUGCCCUGCACUUCGGGAUAAGCCUGGGAAACUGGGUCUAAUACCGGAUAGGACCACUGCCUGCAUGGGUGGUGGUGGAAAGCUUUUGCGGUGUGGGAGGGGCCCGCGGCCUAUCAGCUUGUUGGUGGGGUGAUGGCCUACCAAGGCGACGACGGGUAGCCGGCCUGAGAGGGUGACCGGCCACACUGGGACUGAGAUACGGCCCAGACUCCUACGGGAGGCAGCAGUGGGGAGUAUUGCACAAUGGGCGCAAGCCUGAUGCAGCGACGCCGCGUGAGGGAUGACGGCCUUCGGGUUGUAAACCUCUUUCAGCACCGACGAAGCGCAAGUGACGGUAGGUGCAGAAGAAGGACCGGCCAACUACGUGCCAGCCGCCGCCGUAA
RNAcentral lists this ribosomal RNA (478 nucleotides) under uncultured bacterium. RNAcentral's name for it is "partial 16S ribosomal RNA". It matches the Rfam family "Bacterial small subunit ribosomal RNA", at positions 28 to 523 of the family's 1533-position model. The record is from RNAcentral.